GAUGAACGCUGGCGGCGUGCCUAAUACAUGCAAGUCGAGCGAACAGACGAGGAGCUUGCUCCUCUGACGUUAGCAGCGGACGGGUGAGUAACACGUGGAUAACCUACCUAUAAGACUGGGAUAACUUCGGGAAACCGGAGCUAAUACCGGAUAAUAUAUUGAACCGCAUGGUUCAAUAGUGAAAGACGGUUUUGCUGUCACUUAUAGAUGGAUCCGCGCCGCAUUAGCUAGUUGGUAAGGUAACGGCUUACCAAGGCAACGAUGCGUAGCCGACCUGAGAGGGUGAUCGGCCACACUGGAACUGAGACACGGUCCAGACUCCUACGGGAGGCAGCAGUAGGGAAUCUUCCGCAAUGGGCGAAAGCCUGACGGAGCAACGCCGCGUGAGUGAUGAAGGUCUUCGGAUCGUAAAACUCUGUUAUUAGGGAAGAGCAAAUGUGUAAGUAACUAUGCACGUCUUGACGGUACCUAAUCAGAAAGCCACGGCUAACUACGUG
This 497-nucleotide ribosomal RNA is filed under the name uncultured bacterium. RNAcentral describes it as "partial 16S ribosomal RNA". It matches the Rfam family "Bacterial small subunit ribosomal RNA", at positions 28 to 507 of the family's 1533-position model. The record is from RNAcentral.